GACGAACGCUGGCGGCGUGCCUAAUACAUGCAAGUCGAACGAGAGCGACCGGUGCUUGCACUGGUCAAUCUAGUGGCGAACGGGUGAGUAACACGUGGGUAACCUGCCCAUCAGAGGGGGAUAACAUCCGGAAACGGAUGCUAAAACCGCAUAGGUCUUCGAGCCGCAUGGCUUGAAGAGGAAAAGAGGCGCAAGCUUCUGCUGAUGGAUGGACCCGCGGUGCAUUAGCUAGUUGGUGUGGUAACGGCUCACCAAGGCCGUGAUGCAUAGCCGACCUGAGGGGGUGAUAGGCGACAUUGGGACUGAGACACGGACCAAACUACUACGGGAGGCAGCAGUAGGGAAUCUUACGCAAUGGACGGAAGUCUGACGGAGCAACGCCGCGUGAGUGAAGAAGGUUUUCGGAUCGUAAAACUCUGUUGUUAGAGAAGAACAAGUGCUGGAGUAACUGUUAGCGCCUUGACGGUAUCUAACCAGAAAGCCACGGCUAACUACGUG
Molecule: ribosomal RNA, 498 nt
Filed under: uncultured bacterium
Lineage: Bacteria
Description: partial 16S ribosomal RNA
Rfam family: Bacterial small subunit ribosomal RNA
Source: RNAcentral